UGGAUAGCUCAGUCGGUAGAGCAUGAGACUCUUAAUCUCAGGGUUUUGGGUUCGAGCCCCACAAUGGGUGAA
This is a non-coding RNA of Podarcis lilfordi (Lilford's wall lizard), 72 nucleotides long. The record is from the annotation of a GenBank genome assembly. Lineage: Eukaryota; Metazoa; Chordata; Lepidosauria; Squamata; Lacertidae.